Molecule: ribosomal RNA, 685 nt
Filed under: uncultured bacterium
Lineage: Bacteria
Description: bacterial SSU rRNA
Rfam family: Bacterial small subunit ribosomal RNA
Source: RNAcentral
GGAUAACAGUUAGAAAUGACUGCUAAUACCGCAUAAGACCACAGUACUGCAUGGUGCAGUGGUAAAAACUCCGGUGGUGUAAGAUGGGCCCGCGUCUGAUUAGGUAGUUGGCGGGGUAACGGCCCACCAAGCCGACGAUCAGUAGCCGACCUGAGAGGGUGACCGGCCACAUUGGGACUGAGACACGGCCCAGACUCCUACGGGAGGCAGCAGUGGGGAAUAUUGCACAAUGGGGGAAACCCUGAUGCAGCGACGCCGCGUGAGCGAUGAAGUAUUUCGGUAUGUAAAGCUCUAUCAGCAGGGAAGAAAAUGACGGUACCUGACUAAGAAGCCCCGGCUAACUACGUGCCAGCAGCCGCGGUAAUACGUAGGGGGCAAGCGUUAUCCGGAUUUACUGGGUGUAAAGGGAGCGUAGACGGCGGUGCAAGCCAGAUGUGAAAGCCCGGGGCUCAACCCCGGGACUGCAUUUGGAACUGUGCUGCUAGAGUGUCGGAGAGGCAGGCGGAAUUCCUAGUGUAGCGGUGAAAUGCGUAGAUAUUAGGAGGAACACCAGUGGCGAAGGCGGCCUGCUGGACGAUGACUGACGUUGAGGCUCGAAAGCGUGGGGAGCAAACAGGAUUAGGUACCCUGGUAGUCCACGCCGUAAACGAUGACUAAUGGGUGUCGGGCAGCAAAGCUGUUCGGU